UACGGAGGGUGCGAGCGUUAAUCGGAAUUACUGGGCGUAAAGGGCGCGUAGGCGGUGGGUUACGUCUGCCGUGAAAUCCCCGGGCUCAACCUGGGAAUGGCGGUGGAAACGGGCUGACUGGAGUAUGGGAGAGGGUGAUGGAAUUCCAGGUGUAGCGGUGAAAUGCGUAGAGAUCUGGAGGAACACCAGUGGCGAAGGCGGUCACCUGGCCCAAUACUUACGCUGAGGCGCGAAAGCGUCGGGAGGAAACAGG
Molecule: ribosomal RNA, 253 nt
Filed under: uncultured bacterium
Lineage: Bacteria
Description: partial 16S ribosomal RNA
Rfam family: Bacterial small subunit ribosomal RNA
Source: RNAcentral